UGAGGCAGUAGGUCCUAUGGUUCUAUAGCACUACGGUAAGCAAAUGGGAGAGAGGGAGCAAAUCUGGAAUGACAGAAGAUGAUGCAUUUAAGGAUCAGCAGGGAUUCAGUAGGAGCCACAUAUGUAUCAUCCCAGAAGCGAUAUUGCAGUAUUGAGCUACUCUCAAGUUCAAAACUGGAGCAGAAAGGCCAGCUGAGUAGGGUGACUGUUUGGGAAUAUGAAAUUACCUGGAGAAACAGUUACUUUGACAUCCGGAGUGGAUGCAAGGAAGAACUGGUGAAAUUCUCUUCAGUAAGAAAGCUACCAGCAGCCAGCAUAGAACUGGGUUCCUCCUCCAGACCACAGCAAACUCCUGGAUUUCACAAACAAACACCAAAAAUCUCACAGCCACUUUAGUUCCUUUCUAAACUUGGAACUACCCCUGUAUUCCUAGCACAAAGGGUUUUUUUUGUGUGUGUGAUAAAGGGAAAAAGUUAAUUACACAAUUCCUCCUGUUCUCUUCUGGGUUAUGCUAGUGCAGUCUAGACUUGCAAUUUAGAAAGCUGUUUAUAAGCAGCUGCUUGGCAAAGAGCAGACAUCUUUCUUGUAGUCCAGUACAUUUAAAUAUUUAAAGGCCAGCUGCACAGAGCAAUGUCCCAGAACAUUUUCACUGGGACAUGGUGACUCAUACACAGGCAGAGGAAAUGAAUUGGACUUUCUGCCACAAGAUGGGGCUCUGCCUGCCCUGCUUCACCAUACAACCUGUUUUAUGCUUUGCUUCCUCUCCUGCGUGAAAAAUCAUUGUUUCCUCGGUUAUAAUAUGUCUUUUUUUUCUUCUUCUUCUUCUUGUUUUGCUGUUCAGCAGCACAUUUAUUUUCCAUGGCAAGAAAACAACUUUUCUGUCUUGUCCCUAAACAGACACAGAAAACUGACAAAGCCUCCAGGAUCCCCUUGUAUGAGAUAGAUGAGCUGUACUUACAGAAUUAAAGCAAAACCUUUAUUGCAGAGGAAAAUGAUGCUAUAACCACGCCAUCUGUUUCAUAGCCUCCUGGAACAGAAAGCAUUCACGCAGGUUUCCUGCUUCUUACUAUUUCAGCAUUUUGCUCCUAAGAAGCAGAGGACCAAUGACCAGGUUCUGAUGUUUAGUGCUCACCAGCAAAUCAGUAACAGGCUGAAUUUGGCAGAUCCGUGCCAGAUCUUCAUCUUGAAAUCAAAUGUAACCUUGUAUUACAGCAAAACAAUUAUUAGUGCUGUGGUUGUGCCUGGGGGCUUUAACUGGAUCUUCACAAUGACUGGUAGUUAACACAUACAUAAUAAAACUAAUUUGUGCCCUAAGGACUUCUAAUGG
Molecule: long non-coding RNA, 1327 nt
Filed under: Anser brachyrhynchus (Pink-footed goose)
Lineage: Eukaryota; Metazoa; Chordata; Aves; Anseriformes; Anatidae
Description: lncRNA (ENSABRG00000006567.1)
Source: RNAcentral